GGGCCUGUAGCUCAGCUGGUUAGAGCACACGCUUGAUAAGCGUGGGGUCGGUAGUUCGAAUCUACCCAGGCCCACCA
Molecule: transfer RNA, 77 nt
Filed under: Gammaproteobacteria bacterium
Lineage: Bacteria; Pseudomonadati; Pseudomonadota; Gammaproteobacteria
Also listed under: 5 other names
Description: tRNA-Ile
Rfam family: tRNA
About the family: Transfer RNA (tRNA) molecules are approximately 80 nucleotides in length. Their secondary structure includes four short double-helical elements and three loops (D, anti-codon, and T loops). Further hydrogen bonds mediate the characteristic L-shaped molecular structure. tRNAs have two regions of fundamental functional importance: the anti-codon, which is responsible for specific mRNA codon recognition, and the 3' end, to which the tRNAs corresponding amino acid is attached (by aminoacyl-tRNA synthetases). tRNAs cope with the degeneracy of the genetic code in two manners: having more than one tRNA (with a specific anti-codon) for a particular amino acid; and 'wobble' base-pairing, i.e. permitting non-standard base-pairing at the 3rd anti-codon position.
Source: RNAcentral